This 263-nucleotide unclassified non-coding RNA is filed under the name plant metagenome. RNAcentral describes it as "partial contains small subunit ribosomal RNA, internal transcribed spacer 1, and 5.8S ribosomal RNA". The record is from RNAcentral.
UUUCCGUAGGUGAACCUGCGGAAGGAUCAUUAUUAUAUAACCCAGGUGCGAGGGCUGUCGCUGACCCGAAAGGUCGUGCACGGCCGAGUGCCCUCAUGUGCAUCCAUCUCACCCCUCUGUGCACCGCCGCGUGGGUCCCCCUUUGGGUUGUUCGGAGGGGGGCUUACGUAAUCACACAACCUUUUUAUGCAGUGUAGAAUGUAGUUUUUGUUGUUGCGAUCCCGCAAUCAAUACAACUUUCAACAACGGAUCUCUUGGCUCUG